GAAGGUUUUCGGAUCGUAAAGCUCUGUUGUUAGGGAAGAACAAGUGCGAGAGUAACUGCUCGCGCUUGACGGUACCUAACCAGAAAGCCACGGCUAACUACGUGCCAGCAGCCGCGGUAAUACGUAGGUGGCAAGCGUUGUCCGGAAUUAUUGGGCGUAAAGGGCUCGCAGGCGGUUUCUUAAGUCUGAUGUGAAAGCCCCCGGCUCAACCGGGGAGGGCAUUGGAAACUGGGAAACUUGAGUGCAGAAGAGGAGAGUGGAAUUCCACGUGUAGCGGUGAAAUGCGUAGAGAUGUGGAGGAACACCAGUGGCGAAGGCGACUCUCUGGUCUGUAACUGACGCUGAGGAGCGAAAGCGUGGGGAGCGAACAGGAUUAGAUACCCUGGUAGUCCACGCCGUAAACGAUGAAGCUAAGCUUAGGGGGAUCCGGCCUUAGCCUGCAGCUAACGCAUUAAGCACUCCGCCUGGGGAGUACGGUCGCAAGACUGAAACUC
RNAcentral lists this ribosomal RNA (494 nucleotides) under Bacillus pumilus. RNAcentral's name for it is "bacterial SSU rRNA". It matches the Rfam family "Bacterial small subunit ribosomal RNA", at positions 410 to 902 of the family's 1533-position model. Lineage: Bacteria; Bacillati; Bacillota; Bacilli; Caryophanales; Bacillaceae. The record is from RNAcentral.